Cricetulus griseus (Chinese hamster) is the source of this 109-nucleotide unclassified non-coding RNA. Ensembl annotates it as predicted gene, 27366. NCBI's taxonomy places the organism in Eukaryota, Metazoa, Chordata, Mammalia, Rodentia, Cricetidae. The record is from Ensembl.
GGUAUUCCUGGUUUGGAAAGUAUAAAUCCCACGGGAAGUCAACUGAAGAACAUUUUUACACACUACUCAUUCCAUUAUGAGCCUGCUGCUCUUCCAUCUCUCGACAAGG